RNAcentral lists this ribosomal RNA (905 nucleotides) under Alternaria alternata. RNAcentral describes it as "LSU rRNA". It matches the Rfam family "Eukaryotic large subunit ribosomal RNA", at positions 38 to 961 of the family's 3401-position model. Lineage: Eukaryota; Fungi; Ascomycota; Dothideomycetes; Pleosporales; Pleosporaceae. The record is from RNAcentral.
GCAUAUCAAUAAGCGGAGGAAAAGAAACCAACAGGGAUUGCCCUAGUAACGGCGAGUGAAGCGGCAACAGCUCAAAUUUGAAAUCUGGCUCUUUUAGAGUCCGAGUUGUAAUUUGCAGAGGGCGCUUUGGCUUUGGCAGCGGUCCAAGUUCCUUGGAACAGGACGUCACAGAGGGUGAGAAUCCCGUACGUGGUCGCUGGCUAUUGCCGUGUAAAGCCCCUUCGACGAGUCGAGUUGUUUGGGAAUGCAGCUCUAAAUGGGAGGUACAUUUCUUCUAAAGCUAAAUAUUGGCCAGAGACCGAUAGCGCACAAGUAGAGUGAUCGAAAGAUGAAAAGCACUUUGGAAAGAGAGUCAAACAGCACGUGAAAUUGUUGAAAGGGAAGCGCUUGCAGCCAGACUUGCUUACAGUUGCUCAUCCGGGUUUCUACCCGGUGCACUCUUCUGUAGGCAGGCCAGCAUCAGUUUGGGCGGUAGGAUAAAGGUCUCUGUCACGUACCUCCUUUCGGGGAGGCCUUAUAGGGGAGACGACAUACUACCAGCCUGGACUGAGGUCCGCGCAUCUGCUAGGAUGCUGGCGUAAUGGCUGUAAGCGGCCCGUCUUGAAACACGGACCAAGGAGUCUAACAUCUAUGCGAGUGUUUGGGUGUCAAGCCCGAGCGCGUAAUGAAAGUGAACGGAGGUGGGAACCCGCAAGGGUGCACCAUCGACCGAUCCUGAUGUCUUCGGAAGGAUUUGAGUAAGAGCAUGGCUGUUGGGACCCGAAAGAUGGUGAACUAUGCUUGAAUAGGGUGAAGCCAGAGGAAACUCUGGUGGAGGCUCGCAGCGGUUCUGACGUGCAAAUCGAUCGUCAAAUUUGGGCAUAGGGGCGAAAGACUAAUCGAACUAUCUAGUAGCUGGUUCCUGC